GUGGGGUAAUACUAUGAGGUGUUGGGUCCUGUGGGGUAAUACUAUGAGGUGGGGUAAUACUAUGAGGUGUUGGGUCGUGUGGGGUAAUACUAUGAGGUGUUGGGUCCUGUGGGGUAAUACUAUGAGGUGUUGGGUCCUGUGAGGUAAUACUAUGAGGUGUUGGGUCCUGUGGGGUAAUACUAUGAGGUGGGGUAAUACUAUGAGGUGUUGGGUCCUGUGAGGUAAUACUAUGAGGUGGGGUAAUACUAUGAGGUGUUGGGUCCUGUGGGGUAAUACUAUGAGGUGGGGUAAUACUAUGAGGUGUUGGGUCCUGUGGGGUAGUACUAUGAGGUGGGGUAAUACUAUGAGGUGUUGGGUCCUGUGGGGUAAUACUAUGAGGUGUUGGGUCCUGUGAGGUAAUACUAUGAGGUGGGGUAAUACUAUGAGGUGUUGGGUCCUGUGGGGUAAUACUAUGAGGUGUUGGUCCUGUGGGGUAAUACUAUGAGGUGUUGGUCCUGUGGGGUAAUACUAUGAGGUGUUGGGUCCUGUGGGGUAAUACUAUGAGGUGUUGGGUCCUGUGAGGUAAUACUAUGAGGUGGGGUAAUACUAUGAGGUGUUGGGUCCUGUGGGGUAAUACUAUGAGGUGUUGGGUCCUGUGAGGUAAUACUAUGAGGUGUUGGGUCCUGUGGGGUAAUACUAUGAGGUGGGGUAAUAUUAUGAGGUGUUGGGUCCUGUGGGGUAAUACUAUGAGGUGUUGGGUCCUGUGGGGUAAUACUAUGAGGUGUUGGUCCUGUGGGGUAAUACUAUGAGGUGUUGGUCCUGUGGGGUAAUACUAUGAGGUGUUGGGUCCUGUGAGGUAAUACUAUGAGGUGUUGGGUCCUGUGGGGUAAUACUAUGAGGUGUUGGGUCCUGUGGGGUAAUACUAUGAGGUGGGGUAAUACUAUG
Oncorhynchus tshawytscha (Chinook salmon) is the source of this 924-nucleotide long non-coding RNA. Lineage: Eukaryota; Metazoa; Chordata; Actinopteri; Salmoniformes; Salmonidae. The record is from Ensembl.